AUUGAACGCUGGCGGCAGGCCUAACACAUGCAAGUCGAGCGGUAACAGGAAGAAGCUUGCUUCUUUGCUGACGAGUGGCGGACGGGUGAGUAAUGUCUGGGAAACUGCCUGAUGGAGGGGGAUAACUACUGGAAACGGUAGCUAAUACCGCAUAAUGUCGCAAGACCAAAGAGGGGGACCUUCGGGCCUCUUGCCAUCGGAUGUGCCCAGAUGGGAUUAGCUAGUAGGUGGGGUAACGGCUCACCUAGGCGACGAUCCCUAGCUGGUCUGAGAGGAUGACCAGCCACACUGGAACUGAGACACGGUCCAGACUCCUACGGGAGGCAGCAGUGGGGAAUAUUGCACAAUGGGCGCAAGCCUGAUGCAGCUAUGCCGCGUGUAUGAAGAAGGCCUUCGGGUUGUAAAGUACUUUCAGCGGGGAGGAAGGGAGUAAAGUUAAUACCUUUGCUCAUUGACGUUACCCGCAGAAGAAGCACCGGCUAACUCCGUG
This 490-nucleotide ribosomal RNA is filed under the name uncultured bacterium. RNAcentral describes it as "partial 16S ribosomal RNA". It matches the Rfam family "Bacterial small subunit ribosomal RNA", at positions 30 to 507 of the family's 1533-position model. The record is from RNAcentral.